This 483-nucleotide ribosomal RNA is filed under the name uncultured bacterium. RNAcentral describes it as "partial 16S ribosomal RNA". It matches the Rfam family "Bacterial small subunit ribosomal RNA", at positions 30 to 507 of the family's 1533-position model. The record is from RNAcentral.
AUUGAACGCUGGCGGCAGGCCUAACACAUGCAAGUCGAGCGGAUGAAGGGAGCUUGCUCCUGGAUUCAGCGGCGGACGGGUGAGUAAUGCCUAGGAAUCUGCCUGGUAGUGGGGGAUAACGUCCGGAAACGGGCGCUAAUACCGCAUACGUCCUGAGGGAGAAAGUGGGGGAUCUUCGGACCUCACGCUAUCAGAUGAGCCUAGGUCGGAUUAGCUAGUUGGUGGGGUAAAGGCCUACCAAGGCGACGAUCCGUAACUGGUCUGAGAGGAUGAUCAGUCAAAUUGAAAUGAGAACACGGCCCAGAUUCCAACGGAAGGCAGAGUGGGGAAUAAUUGAACAUGGGGGGAAGGCUGAUUCCAGCAAGGCGCGUGGUUGGAAGAAGGCCUCCGGUUGGUAAAGCACUUAAGUUGGGGAGAAGGGGAGUUAGGUUAAUCCCUGCCUGUUUGGACGUACCAACAGAAUAAGCACCGGCUAACUUCGUG